Molecule: ribosomal RNA, 845 nt
Filed under: uncultured Psychromonas sp.
Lineage: Bacteria; Pseudomonadati; Pseudomonadota; Gammaproteobacteria; Alteromonadales; Psychromonadaceae
Description: bacterial SSU rRNA
Rfam family: Bacterial small subunit ribosomal RNA
Source: RNAcentral
UCAGAUUGAACGCUGGCGGCAGGCUUAACACAUGCAAGUCGAACGGUAACAGAAGAUAGCUUGCUAUUUUGCUGACGAGUGGCGGACGGGUGAGUAAUGCUUGGGAAUAUGCCUUAUGGUGGGGGACAACAGUUGGAAACGACUGCUAAUACCGCAUAAUAUCUUCGGAUCAAAGUGGGGGACCUUCGGGCCUCACGCCAUGAGAGUAGCCCAAGUGGGAUUAGCUAGUUGGUAAGGUAAUGGCUUACCAAGGCGACGAUCCCUAGCUGGUCUUAGAGGAUGACCAGCCACACUGGAACUGAGACACGGUCCAGACUCCUACGGGAGGCAGCAGUGGGGAAUAUUGCACAAUGGAGGAAACUCUGAUGCAGCCAUGCCGCGUGUGUGAAGAAGGCUUUCGGGUUGUAAAGCACUUUCAGUGGGGAGGAAAGGUUAUUGUUUAAUAGACAGUAGCUGUGACGUUACCCACAGAAGAAGCACCGGCUAACUCCGUGCCAGCAGCCGCGGUAAUACGGAGGGUGCGAGCGUUAAUCGGAAUUACUGGGCGUAAAGCGCGCGUAGGUGGUUAAUUAAGUCAGAUGUGAAAGCCCAGGGCUCAACCUUGGAACUGCAUUUGAAACUGGUUAACUAGAGUUUUGUAGAGGGUGGUAGAAUUUCAGGUGUAGCGGUGAAAUGCGUAGAGAUCUGAAGGAAUACCAGUGGCGAAGGCGGCCACCUGGACAAAGACUGACACUGAGGCGCGAAGGCGUGGGGAGCAAACGGGAUUAGAUACCCCGGUAGUCCACGCAGUAAACGAUGUCUAUUAGAAGUUUGUGGCUAUAUGCCGUGGGUUUCAAAGCUAACGC